RNAcentral lists this ribosomal RNA (251 nucleotides) under uncultured prokaryote. Its description in RNAcentral is "partial 16S rRNA". It matches the Rfam family "Bacterial small subunit ribosomal RNA", at positions 525 to 775 of the family's 1533-position model. The record is from RNAcentral.
ACGGAGGGUGCGAGCGUUAAUCGGAAUCACUGGGCGUAAAGCGCACGUAGGCGGUGUCGUAAGUCGGAUGUGAAAGCCCUCGGCUCAACCGGGGAACUGCAUUCGAUACUGCGACGCUUGAGUCCAGGAGAGGGUGGCGGAAUUCCAGGUGUAGAGGUGAAAUUCGUAGAUAUUCGGAGGAACACCAGUGGCGAAGGCGGCCCCCUGGACGGCAACUGACGCUGAGGUGCGAAAGCGUGGGGAUCAAACAG